GAUUUUGCCCGAAAUGUGAAAAGAAAUUAUUAGUCAUUAGGUCUAGCAUAUACACUUGAUUUUUCGGGAUAAAUCCCGAAAUAUUUGAAGACAUCUGUGUACAUAUUUUGUAGUUAGUUAAUUUUUGUCGGGAUAUUUCCCGAAAUGUGUUUCAGAUAUUUUUGUUAAAACGCUCUGCCAACAUAUAUGUUAUAAAUAAUAAUGUUGAAAAUGAUUUCGGGACAUUUCCCGAAA
This 234-nucleotide long non-coding RNA is filed under the name Mytilus galloprovincialis (Mediterranean mussel). The record is from RNAcentral. Lineage: Eukaryota; Metazoa; Mollusca; Bivalvia; Mytilida; Mytilidae.